AUUGAACGCUGGCGGCAGGCCUAACACAUGCAAGGCGAGCGGUAACACAGGGAGCUUGCUCCUGGGUGACGAGCGGCGGACGGGUGAGUAAUGUCUGGGAAACUGCCUGAUGGAGGGGGAUAACUACUGGAAACGGUAGCUAAUACCGCAUAACGUCGCAAGACCAAAGAGGGGGAGCUUCGGGCCUCUUGCCAUCAGAUGUGCCCAGAUGGGAUUAGCUAGUAGGUGGGGUAACGGCUCACCUAGGCGACGAUCCCUAGCUGGUCUGAGAGGAUGACCAGCCACACUGGAACUGAGACACGGUCCAGACUCCUACGGGAGGCAGCAGUGGGGAAUAUUGCACAAUGGGCGCAAGCCUGAUGCAGCCAUGCCGCGUGUAUGAAGAAGGCCUUAGGGUUGUAAAGUACUUUCAGCGGGGAGGAAGGCGUUGAGGUUAAUAACCUCAGCGAUUGACGUUACCCGCAGAAGAAGCACCGGCUAACUCCGUGCCAGCAGCCGCGGUAA
This 504-nucleotide ribosomal RNA is filed under the name uncultured bacterium. RNAcentral's name for it is "partial 16S ribosomal RNA". It matches the Rfam family "Bacterial small subunit ribosomal RNA", at positions 29 to 523 of the family's 1533-position model. The record is from RNAcentral.